GAUGAACGCUAGCGGCAGGCCUAAUACAUGCAAGUCGGACGGGAUCGGGGAGCUUGCUCCCCGUGAGAGUGGCGCACGGGUGCGUAGCACGUAUGUAACCUACCUUUAUCAGGGGGAUAGCCUCUCGAAAGAGAGAUUAACACCGCAUAACAUCACAUGAUAGCAUUAUCGAGUGAUCAAAUAUUCAUAGGAUAAAGAUGGGCAUGCGGGACAUUAGCUAGUUGGCGGGAUAACGGCCCACCAAGGCGACGAUGUCUAGGGGAUCUGAGAGGAUGACCCCCCACACUGGUACAGAGACACGGACCAGACUCCUACGGGAGGCAGCAGUAAGGAAUAUUGGUCAAUGGACGCAAGUCUGAACCAGCCAUGCCGCGUGCAGGAGGACGGCCCUACGGGUUGUAAACUGCUUUUGUACCGGAAUAAACCCUUUUACGUGUAAGAGGCUGAAUGUACGGUAAGAAUAAGGAUCGGCUAACUCCGUGCCAGCAGCCGCGGUAA
RNAcentral lists this ribosomal RNA (498 nucleotides) under uncultured bacterium. RNAcentral's name for it is "partial 16S ribosomal RNA". It matches the Rfam family "Bacterial small subunit ribosomal RNA", at positions 28 to 523 of the family's 1533-position model. The record is from RNAcentral.